AGGCAGCAGCUGUCCAUCCACAUGGAUGCGAAACGCAUGCUCUGCGGCAGAGGGCAGAGCCUGGAGGGCAGCUCCCCCCCUCAGGCUCAUCCCACCCCAGGGAAAGGAGCUUGCUGAGAGAAACCACGAGCCCUUUGGAGCAGGGGGUGCUCUGGGCGGUGUCCGGGGCCGGGGCUGGGGCGGACAUUGGCUCCCCACAGGUGUUUUGAGACUAUGAGGUGCCUCAGGCUUCUCUCAGCAAGCGAGGGCUGAGGAACUUCCUUGGGCCGUGAGCCUUUCUCGCGUCUCCUCUCGCUGGGGAGCAUGCUGUGGGCUGCUUGCUCUUCUUACAGAGCAACCAGCCUGGCCUGGAGAAGCGCCAGACAGCUGUGAGCUGCAGCAGCGCCAGCGUCUUCUCACCGGAGGAAGGCCGGCCAGGUUCCUCUGCCUUUCGUCGUUUUGGGAAGAGCAGCCACCAGGCAGGCCGUGCGUCUCCCCGCCUCGUCGCCGUCAGCACUGGCAGCAGGUGGUUCCUCAGGUGCUGCUACCCACUUUGCCGAGGAAGCACACAAACAGCGAGCGGCAGAUCGGCACUGGGGACACCCGUGUGAUGUGUGCCAUGGAAGCGACAGCAGGAUCCAACCCGCCUGCAAGAGGAUCCAACCCAACAGCCAUGUCCUGGCAGCUGUGUUCUCCUUGAUUCCAGGUGAGGGGAUGUGAACUUGGCAGAGCCUGUGAGCAUUCCCAGGGGACAACCUCGCUCUGCAGUGCCUCUCCUGUGCUCCCUUGGUUUGGGCCAAGGCUCUGAUCUGGUUUAUGAGGGGCUCUGAGGCUCCUCAGACCCUUUCCAGGGGCUGUGCUGCCUGCUCUGGGUGGCCCUGCUUGACCAGGGGUUGGACCAGGUGGCCUCCAGAGGGCCCUGCCAACCUCCACCCCUCAGUGGUGGGGCUGGUUUCUCUCUGUGAGCAGCCAGCCCACUGUGCUGCAGGGCACGGAGAGAGCUGCGCUGCAGUGG
This 994-nucleotide long non-coding RNA is filed under the name Anser cygnoides (Swan goose). RNAcentral's name for it is "lncRNA (ENSACDG00005007192.1)". The record is from RNAcentral. Lineage: Eukaryota; Metazoa; Chordata; Aves; Anseriformes; Anatidae.